AUCGAUAACCCACGUUAANUUUCAUUUUAAUUUAAAAUUUAUAUACCGCCAUCUCAAGAAUUAAUUUAAAAAUAUUUCUCAAAAUAAUAAAUAAAAAGUUAGGUCAAGGUGUAAUUUACAAUAAAAAAUAAAUGAAUUACAUUAAAAACAAUUUAAAAAUUAUUAAUAAAUAUAUUUACAUGAAUAAGGAUUUAAAAGUAAUAUAUUAAUAAUAUUAUAAUAUGAUAUAAAUAAUAAAUGUGCACACAUCGCCC
RNAcentral lists this ribosomal RNA (254 nucleotides) under Draconarius songi. Its description in RNAcentral is "partial 12S ribosomal RNA". The record is from RNAcentral. Lineage: Eukaryota; Metazoa; Arthropoda; Arachnida; Araneae; Agelenidae.